This 397-nucleotide ribosomal RNA is filed under the name uncultured bacterium. Its description in RNAcentral is "bacterial SSU rRNA". It matches the Rfam family "Bacterial small subunit ribosomal RNA", at positions 362 to 774 of the family's 1533-position model. The record is from RNAcentral.
UAUUGCACAAUGGGCGAAAGCCUGAUGCAGCAACGCCGCGUGUACGAUGAAGGCCUUCGGGUUGUAAAGUACUUUUAUGAGGGAAGAGUAAGGACUGUACCUCAUGAAUAAGGAUCGGCUAACUACGUGCCAGCAGCCGCGGUAAUACGUAGGGUGCGAGCGUUAUCCGGAAUCAUUGGGCGUAAAGAGCUCGUAGGCGGUUCAACAAGUCGGCUGUGAAAGUCCGGGGCUCAACCCCGGAAUUGCAGUCGAUACUGUUGUGACUUGAGUCCGGUAGAGGAGAAUGGAAUUCCCGGUGUAGCGGUGGAAUGCGCAGAUAUCGGGAGGAACACCAGUAGCGAAGGCGGUUCUCUGGGCCGGCACUGACGCUGAGGAGCGAAAGCGUGGGGAGCAAACA